RNAcentral lists this ribosomal RNA (343 nucleotides) under Hemiselmis andersenii. Its description in RNAcentral is "partial Bacterial large subunit ribosomal RNA". It matches the Rfam family "Bacterial large subunit ribosomal RNA", at positions 202 to 508 of the family's 2925-position model. The record is from RNAcentral. Lineage: Eukaryota; Cryptophyceae; Cryptomonadales; Hemiselmidaceae.
CUUAGUACCCGUAGGAAAAGAUAUUCCGUGAGUAGUGGCGAGCGAAAGCGGAGGAUGGCUAAACCGUGUGCGUGUGAUACUCGGCGGGGGUUGCGUGUGCGGUGUUGUGGGGCUUGUCUGUUUUCUUCCUUCUGCCGGAGGGGGGCAUGUGAUCGUGUUGGGAGUUGAACACCUUGGGAUGGGUGACCAAAGUGCGUGAGAGUCGUGUAGGCGUACCGGUGCGGUUGUGUGUUGGAUGGGUGCCCGAGUAGUGCGGGACUCGUGAAAUCUCGUGUGAAUCUGCCAGGACCACCUGGUAAGCCUGAAUACUCCUUGAUGACCGAUAGUGCAUAGUACCGUGAGG